This 241-nucleotide ribosomal RNA is filed under the name uncultured Staphylococcus sp. RNAcentral describes it as "partial 16S ribosomal RNA". It matches the Rfam family "Bacterial small subunit ribosomal RNA", at positions 99 to 334 of the family's 1533-position model. The record is from RNAcentral. Lineage: Bacteria; Bacillati; Bacillota; Bacilli; Caryophanales; Staphylococcaceae.
CGGACGGGUGAGUAACACGUGGAUAACCUACCUAUAAGACUGGGAUAACUUCGGGAAACCGGAGCUAAUACCGGAUAAUAUAUUGAACCGUAUGGUUCAAUAGUGAAAGACGGUUUUGCUGUCACUGAUAGAUGGAUCCGCGCCGCAUUAGCCAGUUGGUAAGGUAACGGCUUACCAAGGCAACGAUGCGUAGCCGACCUGAGAGGGUGAUCGGCCACACUGGAACUGAGACACGGUCCAG